AGUGGCGGACGGGUGAGUAACGCGUGAGAAUCUGCCUUGGGGUCGGGGACAACCACUGGAAACGGUGGCUAAUACCGGAUAAGCCGAUUGGUGAAAGAUUUAUUGCCCGAAGAGGAGCUCGCGUCUGAUUAGCUAGUUGGUGAGGUAAGAGCUCACCAAGGCAGCGAUCAGUAGCUGGUCUGAGAGGACGAUCAGCCACACUGGGACUGAGACACGGCCCAGACUCCUACGGGAGGCAGCAGUGGGGAAUUUUCCGCAAUGGGCGAAAGCCUGACGGAGCAAGACCGCGUGAGGGAGGAAGGCUCUUGGGUUGUAAACCUCUUUUCUCAGGGAAGAAGCUCUGACGGUACCUGAGGAAUCAGCCUCGGCUAACUCCGUGCCAGCAGCCGCGGUAAUACGGAGGAGGCAAGCGUUAUCCGGAAUGAUUGGGCGUAAAGCGUCCGCAGGUGGCAAUGUAAGUCUGCUGUCAAAACCCAGGGCUCAACUCUGGUCAGGCAGUGGAAACUACAUAGCUAGAGUUCGGUAGGGGCAAAGGGAAUUCCCGGUGUAGCGGUGAAAUGCGUAGAGAUCGGGAAGAACAUCGGUGGCGAAAGCGCUUUGCUAGACCGAAACUGACACUCAGGGACGAAAGCUAGGGGAGCGAAUGGGAUUAGAUACCCC
RNAcentral lists this ribosomal RNA (660 nucleotides) under uncultured bacterium. Its description in RNAcentral is "bacterial SSU rRNA". It matches the Rfam family "Bacterial small subunit ribosomal RNA", at positions 94 to 788 of the family's 1533-position model. The record is from RNAcentral.